GACGAACGCUGGCGGCGUGCUUAACACAUGCAAGUCGAACGGAAAGGCCCUGCUUUUGUGGGGUGCUCGAGUGGCGAACGGGUGAGUAACACGUGAGUAACCUGCCCUUGACUUUGGGAUAACUUCAGGAAACUGGGGCUAAUACCGGAUAGGAGCUCCUGCUGCAUGGUGGGGGUUGGAAAGUUUCGGCGGUUGGGGAUGGACUCGCGGCUUAUCAGCUUGUUGGUGGGGUAGUGGCUUACCAAGGCUUUGACGGAUAGCCGGCCUGAGAGGGUGACCGGCCACAAUGGGCCUGAGAGACGGACCAGACGCGAACGGGGGGCAGCGGGGGGAAAUAUUACACAGUGAGCGGAAGUGUGAUACGGCAGCGCCGCGUUCGGGAUGACGGCCUUCGGGUUGUGAACCGCUUUCGCCUGAGACGAAGCGUUAGUGACGGUAAUGAAUAAAGAAGCACCGGCUAACUACGUG
RNAcentral lists this ribosomal RNA (468 nucleotides) under uncultured bacterium. RNAcentral describes it as "partial 16S ribosomal RNA". It matches the Rfam family "Bacterial small subunit ribosomal RNA", at positions 28 to 507 of the family's 1533-position model. The record is from RNAcentral.